Lingula anatina is the source of this 271-nucleotide long non-coding RNA. The record is from RefSeq and is a predicted model, not a curated record. Lineage: Eukaryota; Metazoa; Brachiopoda; Lingulata; Lingulida; Lingulidae.
CAGUUUGUCCUUCUUUCUUAGACUAGCGGACGCUGAAUGCUGUCGUCCAGUUAUCCCUGAUCACUGCGGAGACUGCAGCCGUACAUUGUAUGCCUGUGGUGUAGGGGAAUGUGAUAGACUCGGUUGUAACUGUGUAGGAGGCUGCAGAUCCGGUUGCUCGAAUGUGAGAUAUUCCGGAUUUUGGCUUAGCCGAGGCUGCAAGUGCAACCGCAAGAGGUCCGCGACUGCAGGUGUAGAUUACAGCAUUGACGCCAGUGUAGUAUUCAGUAAC